Molecule: non-coding RNA, 72 nt
Organism: Heligmosomoides polygyrus
Lineage: Eukaryota; Metazoa; Nematoda; Chromadorea; Rhabditida; Heligmosomidae
Source: Rfam
GCGCUGGUGAUGUAAGGCGUAGCAUUGCUGACCGGAAAGCGGAAGGUGCGGGCUCGAGUCCCGCCUAGCGCA